RNAcentral lists this ribosomal RNA (1451 nucleotides) under bacterium. Its description in RNAcentral is "bacterial SSU rRNA". It matches the Rfam family "Bacterial small subunit ribosomal RNA". The record is from RNAcentral.
CGGCGGGCGGGUCCUAUACAUGCAAGUCGAGCGAACAGACAAGGAGCUUGCUCCUUUGACGUUAGCGGCGGACGGGUGAGUAACACGUGGGUAACCUACCUAUAAGACUGGGAUAACUUCGGGAAACCGGAGCUAAUACCGGAUAAUAUUUCGAACCGCAUGGUUCGAUAGUGAAAGAUGGUUUUGCUAUCACUUAUAGAUGGACCCGCGCCGUAUUAGCUAGUUGGUAAGGUAACGGCUUACCAAGGCGACGAUACGUAGCCGACCUGAGAGGGUGAUCGGCCACACUGGAACUGAGACACGGUCCAGACUCCUACGGGAGGCAGCAGUAGGGAAUCUUCCGCAAUGGGCGAAAGCCUGACGGAGCAACGCCGCGUGAGUGAUGAAGGUCUUCGGAUCGUAAAACUCUGUUAUUAGGGAAGAACAUACGUGUAAGUAACUAUGCACGUCUUGACGGUACCUAAUCAGAAAGCCACGGCUAACUACGUGCCAGCAGCCGCGGUAAUACGUAGGUGGCAAGCGUUAUCCGGAAUUAUUGGGCGUAAAGCGCGCGUAGGCGGUUUUUUAAGUCUGAUGUGAAAGCCCACGGCUCAACCGUGGAGGGUCAUUGGAAACUGGAAAACUUGAGUGCAGAAGAGGAAAGUGGAAUUCCAUGUGUAGCGGUGAAAUGCGCAGAGAUAUGGAGGAACACCAGUGGCGAAGGCGACUUUCUGGUCUGUAACUGACGCUGAUGUGCGAAAGCGUGGGGAUCAAACAGGAUUAGAUACCCUGGUAGUCCACGCCGUAAACGAUGAGUGCUAAGUGUUAGGGGGUUUCCGCCCCUUAGUGCUGCAGCUAACGCAUUAAGCACUCCGCCUGGGGAGUACGACCGCAAGGUUGAAACUCAAAGGAAUUGACGGGGACCCGCACAAGCGGUGGAGCAUGUGGUUUAAUUCGAAGCAACGCGAAGAACCUUACCAAAUCUUGACAUCCUUUGACAACUCUAGAGAUAGAGCCUUCCCCUUCGGGGGACAAAGUGACAGGUGGUGCAUGGUUGUCGUCAGCUCGUGUCGUGAGAUGUUGGGUUAAGUCCCGCAACGAGCGCAACCCUUAAGCUUAGUUGCCAUCAUUAAGUUGGGCACUCUAAGUUGACUGCCGGUGACAAACCGGAGGAAGGUGGGGAUGACGUCAAAUCAUCAUGCCCCUUAUGAUUUGGGCUACACACGUGCUACAAUGGACAAUACAAAGGGCAGCGAAACCGCGAGGUCAAGCAAAUCCCAUAAAGUUGUUCUCAGUUCGGAUUGUAGUCUGCAACUCGACUACAUGAAGCUGGAAUCGCUAGUAAUCGUAGAUCAGCAUGCUACGGUGAAUACGUUCCCGGGUCUUGUACACACCGCCCGUCACACCACGAGAGUUUGUAACACCCGAAGCCGGUGGAGUAACCAUUGGAGCUAGCCGUCGAAAGGGGAUCA